Molecule: ribosomal RNA, 1540 nt
Filed under: Staphylococcus aureus
Lineage: Bacteria; Bacillati; Bacillota; Bacilli; Caryophanales; Staphylococcaceae
Description: partial 23S ribosomal RNA
Rfam family: Bacterial large subunit ribosomal RNA
Source: RNAcentral
GGUCCUAAGCUGAGGCCGACAGGCGUAGGCGAUGGAUAACAGGUUGAUAUUCCUGUACCACCUAUAAUCGUUUUAAUCGAUGGGGGGACGCAGUAGGAUAGGCGAAGCGUGCGAUUGGAUUGCACGUCUAAGCAGUAAGGCUGAGUAUUAGGCAAAUCCGGUACUCGUUAAGGCUGAGCUGUGAUGGGGAGAAGACAUUGUGUCUUCGAGUCGUUGAUUUCACACUGCCGAGAAAAGCCUCUAGAUAGAAAAUAGGUGCCCGUACCGCAAACCGACACAGGUAGUCAAGAUGAGAAUUCUAAGGUGAGCGAGCGAACUCUCGUUAAGGAACUCGGCAAAAUGACCCCGUAACUUCGGGAGAAGGGGUGCUCUUUAGGGUUAACGCCCAGAAGAGCCGCAGUGAAUAGGCCCAAGCGACUGUUUAUCAAAAACACAGGUCUCUGCUAAACCGUAAGGUGAUGUAUAGGGGCUGACGCCUGCCCGGUGCUGGAAGGUUAAGAGGAGUGGUUAGCUUCUGCGAAGCUACGAAUCGAAGCCCCAGUAAACGGCGGCCGUAACUAUAACGGUCCUAAGGUAGCGAAAUUCCUUGUCGGGUAAGUUCCGACCCGCACGAAAGGCGUAACGAUUUGGGCACUGUCUCAACGAGAGACUCGGUGAAAUCAUAGUACCUGUGAAGAUGCAGGUUACCCGCGACAGGACGGAAAGACCCCGUGGAGCUUUACUGUAGCCUGAUAUUGAAAUUCGGCACAGCUUGUACAGGAUAGGUAGGAGCCUUUGAAACGUGAGCGCUAGCUUACGUGGAGGCGCUGGUGGGAUACUACCCUAGCUGUGUUGGCUUUCUAACCCGCACCACUUAUCGUGGUGGGAGACAGUGUCAGGCGGGCAGUUUGACUGGGGCGGUCGCCUCCUAAAAGGUAACGGAGGCGCUCAAAGGUUCCCUCAGAAUGGUUGGAAAUCAUUCAUAGAGUGUAAAGGCAUAAGGGAGCUUGACUGCGAGACCUACAAGUCGAGCAGGGUCGAAAGACGGACUUAGUGAUCCGGUGGUUCCGCAUGGAAGGGCCAUCGCUCAACGGAUAAAAGCUACCCCGGGGAUAACAGGCUUAUCUCCCCCAAGAGUUCACAUCGACGGGGAGGUUUGGCACCUCGAUGUCGGCUCAUCGCAUCCUGGGGCUGUAGUCGGUCCCAAGGGUUGGGCUGUUCGCCCAUUAAAGCGGUACGCGAGCUGGGUUCAGAACGUCGUGAGACAGUUCGGUCCCUAUCCGUCGUGGGCGUAGGAAAUUUGAGAGGAGCUGUCCUUAGUACGAGAGGACCGGGAUGGACAUACCUCUGGUGUACCAGUUGUCGUGCCAACGGCAUAGCUGGGUAGCUAUGUGUGGACGGGAUAAGUGCUGAAAGCAUCUAAGCAUGAAGCCCCCCUCAAGAUGAGAUUUCCCAACUUCGGUUAUAAGAUCCCUCAAAGAUGAUGAGGUUAAUAGGUUCGAGGUGGAAGCAUGGUGACAUGUGGAGCUGACGAAUACUAAUCGAUCGAAGACUUAAUCAA